GAGGCAGCAGUGGGGAAUAUUGGACAAUGGGCGCAAGCCUGAUCCAGCCAUGCCGCGUGAGUGAUGAAGGCCUUCGGGUUGUAAAGCUCUUUCACCCACGACGAUGAUGACGGUAGUGGGAGAAGAAGCCCCGGCUAACUUCGUGCCAGCAGCCGCGGUAAUACGAAGGGGGCAAGCGUUGUUCGGAAUGACUGGGCGUAAAGGGCGCGUAGGCGGUUCGUUGCGUCAGAUGUGAAAGCCCCGGGCUCAACCUGGGAACUGCAUUUGAUACGGGCGGGCUUGAAUCCAAGAGAGGGUGGUGGAAUUCCCAGUGUAGAGGUGAAAUUCGUAGAUAUUGGGAAGAACACCAGUGGCGAAGGCGGCCACCUGGCUUGGUAUUGACGCUGAGGCGCGAAAGCGUGGGGAGCAAACAGGAUUAGAUACCCUGGUAGUCCACGCCGUAAACGAUGUGUGCUAGCCGUCGGGCAGCUUGCUGUUCGGUGGCGCAGCUAACGCGAUAAGCACACCGCCUGGGGAGUACGGUCGCAAGAUUAAAACUUAAAGGAAUUGACG
This 552-nucleotide ribosomal RNA is filed under the name uncultured Inquilinus sp. RNAcentral's name for it is "bacterial SSU rRNA". It matches the Rfam family "Bacterial small subunit ribosomal RNA", at positions 345 to 915 of the family's 1533-position model. The record is from RNAcentral. Lineage: Bacteria; Pseudomonadati; Pseudomonadota; Alphaproteobacteria; Rhodospirillales; Rhodospirillaceae.